Molecule: transfer RNA, 72 nt
Filed under: Camelus bactrianus (Bactrian camel)
Lineage: Eukaryota; Metazoa; Chordata; Mammalia; Artiodactyla; Camelidae
Also listed under: 3 other names
Rfam family: tRNA
About the family: Transfer RNA (tRNA) molecules are approximately 80 nucleotides in length.
Source: Rfam by way of RNAcentral
GAGGGUGUAGCUCAGUGGUAGAGUGAAUGCCUAGCAUGUGCAAGGUCCUGGGUUCAAUCCCCAGUACCUCCA